AAUUGUCAUAAGAGAAAAGAGACUAGUAAGCAGAAUAACAUUUUUACAGACAACAAAGGCAUAACAGAAAGUCUUGCGCAAAGAAAAGAUCAAAACAGAAACCUAUUUGAAAAGAGCUAAUCGACAUUAAGAAAGAUACAAGACAUAAACAACAACAUAAAUUGGAAUUAGAAAAACCCAAAAAGCAGAUAACAGAACUCAAGAAAAGUUUUUUUAAUAUUAAAAUUAUUUUAGACAUUAAGAUGUGAUAGCCAGCCUCCAGGAUGGUCCCCAGUGACCCUUUUCCCCGAAUAUUUAGACCUUUCUAUAAUACUUUUCUACAUUGGCACAGGACUGGUCAGUAGGAUAUUAUAAAAGUGAUGACAUAUGAUUUAUGAGGCUAGGUCAUAAAAGAUAUUGCAUCUUCCAUUUGCCCUCUUAGAUCUCUUGCUCUGGUAGAAGCUAACUUCUGUCUGUUGAGCUCAUUCAUUCAGCCCUAAGGAAAGGCCAAAAAGGAGAGAGUUGAGACUUCCUGCCAAAAGCCAGCCCCAACUUACCAGCUUUAUGUGUUAGUUACCUUGAAAGUAAAUCUUUCAGCCUCAGUCAAGUCUUCAGAUCACAGCAACCUCAUAAGAGUCUCUGAGUCAGAACUGCUCAGCCAAGCCAUGCCUGAAUUCUCAAUCCAGAAAAAUGUGAAACAUAACAGGAGAGAAGUGGACUGGAUAACAGAAAUUCACCUAAUGCAUACUCUUUGCCAAUUGGACCAGUGUCAGUGACCAUAGAAAGAAAGAAAGAAAGGAUCAAUGAUGGUCAUACUAUGUGCAAAGCACUAUGCUACACACCAGGAUAUUGAUGACCAUUAAACUAUAACCUCUGCCCACAAAGAGAUAACACAAUUAUUAUAGAAGAAUUAUGUGAAGAGUAUGCGAAGGAUACUCCAGUCACUCAGAAGAAAGAGGAGUUCCCAGAGGAGAGGAUGCAUAAGCAGAGUCUUCAAAGAGGAAUAGAAGUUGAGGAGUAGAGAGCCAUUGCAGAGAGAAUGGGAGAAAUAUGCAUCAAAGUAGAGAGGCAUGAGAAGAAUGGAAUAUUGAUUAGCCAUAGAUGGUUCAGUAUGCACGGAACACAUAGGGUGCAAGGCAGGCAAUGAUGAUUGAUGAGCUGAACAAGAAUACAGAGGACACAUCUUAAAGGAGUUUGCAUGCCUGCUAAAGUUUAAAAUUUAUGUCAAAGGCAAUUGGAAACAUCACAUUUUAAGCAGAAUUGUGCUGUAUUAAGAUUUAAAUUUUAGAGAGAUUGUUCUGACUAAAGGGUUGCUAAUAAUGAGGAAGGUGAUGAAACAUACUAUGACAAAGCAUUGACAUUCUCUAAAGAUCUCAUACACGUAAUUAAAAGCCAACCAUUACAAGGAGAAAAAAAGGGGGGGGUCAAUAAAAAGAUAUUCAUCUUUACAAAAAAUCAGAGCAAGGCAAUUUAAAAACGAGAUACUAUUGGGGCCGGCCCCAUGGCCUAGUGGUUAGGUUUGCGCGCUCUGCUGCAGUGGCCCAGGGUUUCACUUGGUCGGAUCCUGGGUGCGGGCAUUGUGUGGAGCAAUAAAAACUUGAAAACUAUUAUAAAAAGAUGACGUGAAGUGCAAAAUGGGAUUUUUCUUUUUUUCCUAAGAACUAA
This is a long non-coding RNA of Equus asinus (donkey), 1644 nucleotides long. Lineage: Eukaryota; Metazoa; Chordata; Mammalia; Perissodactyla; Equidae. The record is from Ensembl.